This 207-nucleotide ribosomal RNA is filed under the name uncultured bacterium. Its description in RNAcentral is "partial 16S ribosomal RNA". It matches the Rfam family "Bacterial small subunit ribosomal RNA", at positions 568 to 774 of the family's 1533-position model. The record is from RNAcentral.
CACGUAGGCGGACUUUUAAGUCAGGGGUGAAAUCCCAGGGCUCAACCCCGGAACUGCCUUUGAUACUGGAAGUCUGGAGUUCGAGAGAGGUGAGUGGAAUUCCGAGUGUAGAGGUGAAAUUCGUAGAUAUUCGGAGGAACACCAGUGGCGAAGGCGGCUCACUGGCUCGAUACUGACGCUGAGGUGCGAAAGCGUGGGGAGCAAACA